Molecule: unclassified non-coding RNA, 294 nt
Filed under: uncultured Fusarium
Lineage: Eukaryota; Fungi; Ascomycota; Sordariomycetes; Hypocreales; Nectriaceae
Description: partial contains 5.8S ribosomal RNA, internal transcribed spacer 2, and large subunit ribosomal RNA
Rfam family: 5.8S ribosomal RNA (bases 1-102)
Source: RNAcentral
AUGCGAUAAGUAAUGUGAAUUGCAGAAUUCAGUGAAUCAUCGAAUCUUUGAACGCACAUUGCGCCCGCCAGUAUUCUGGCGGGCAUGCCUGUUCGAGCGUCAUUUCAACCCUCAAGCCCAGCUUGGUGUUGGGAGCUGUUUUAGUUAACACUCCCCAAAUUGAUUGGCGGUCACGUCGAGCUUCCAUAGCGUAGUAAUUUACACAUCGUUACUGGUAAUCGACGCGGCCACGCCGUUAAACCCCAACUUCUGAAUGUUGACCUCGGAUCAGGUAGGAAUACCCGCUGAACUUAA